RNAcentral lists this long non-coding RNA (271 nucleotides) under Lathyrus oleraceus (garden pea). RNAcentral describes it as "Pisum sativum (pea) long non-coding RNA (PSAT_LNC021253)". Lineage: Eukaryota; Viridiplantae; Streptophyta; Magnoliopsida; Fabales; Fabaceae. The record is from RNAcentral.
UCCGUUUUGCUCAAUUGUGCUCCUAGUUCUUGCAAUUCGAAAUCACCAUGUGAGGACCUUCUUUGUACAGUGGUGUAUGGCGCGGCUAUGGUAGCUUCCUUGCACAAACAGAUGGAGUAAUGGACAAUAGGAAAUCAAUGCAAAAAGAAGAAUCCAAAUUGAUCAAGGUUUUGUGGAGAUUUUUGGAUUUUGGCUCUUGUGAGUUCUUGAAGAUUCUUGGAGUUUUUUUGAUGAUUUUGAUCUGAAAAUUUGGUGAAUGAGAAUUCUGUUA